CCUACGGGAGGCAGCAGUAGGGAAUAUUGCUCAAUGGGGGAAACCCUGAAGCAGCAACGCCGCGUGGAGGAUGAAGGUUUUAGGAUUGUAAACUCCUUUUGUUAGAGAAGAUUAUGACGGUAUCUAACGAAUAAGCACCGGCUAACUCCGUGCCAGCAGCCGCGGUAAUACGGAGGGUGCAAGCGUUACUCGGAAUCACUGGGCGUAAAGAGUGCGUAGGCGGGGUAAUAAGUCAGAGGUGAAAUCCUGUGGCUUAACUACAGAACUGCAUUUGAAACUGUUACUCUGGAGUGUGGGAGGGGUAGGUGGAAUUCUUGGUGUAGGGGUAAAAUCCGUAGAGAUCAAGAAGAAUACUCAUUGCGAAGGCGACCUGCUGGAACAUUACUGACGCUGAUGCACGAAAGCGUGGGGAGCAAACAGGAUUAGAUACCCCAGUAGUC
RNAcentral lists this ribosomal RNA (440 nucleotides) under uncultured bacterium. RNAcentral's name for it is "partial 16S ribosomal RNA". It matches the Rfam family "Bacterial small subunit ribosomal RNA", at positions 338 to 795 of the family's 1533-position model. The record is from RNAcentral.